This 73-nucleotide transfer RNA is filed under the name Loxodonta africana (African savanna elephant). It matches the Rfam family "tRNA". From Rfam's summary of the family: Transfer RNA (tRNA) molecules are approximately 80 nucleotides in length. Their secondary structure includes four short double-helical elements and three loops (D, anti-codon, and T loops). The record is from Rfam by way of RNAcentral. Lineage: Eukaryota; Metazoa; Chordata; Mammalia; Proboscidea; Elephantidae.
ACCAUAUUGGUGUAGUGGUUAACAGCUAUGGCUGCUAACCAAAAGGUUGGUAGUUCAAAUCCACCAGGUGUUC